UACGUAGGGUGCGAGCGUUAAUCGGAAUUACUGGGCGUAAAGCGUGCGCAGGCGGUUCGUUGUGUCUGAUGUGAAAGCCCCGGGCUUAACUUGGGAAUGGCAUUGGAAACUGGCGAGCUAGAGUGUGGCAGAGGGGGGUGGAAUUCCGCGUGUAGCAGUGAAAUGCGUAGAGAUGCGGAGGAACACCGAUGGCGAAGGCAGCCCCCUGGGCUAACACUGACGCUCAGGCACGAAAGCGUGGGGAGCAAACAGG
Molecule: ribosomal RNA, 253 nt
Filed under: uncultured bacterium
Lineage: Bacteria
Description: partial 16S ribosomal RNA
Rfam family: Bacterial small subunit ribosomal RNA
Source: RNAcentral